This 484-nucleotide ribosomal RNA is filed under the name uncultured Sphingobacteriales bacterium. RNAcentral describes it as "bacterial SSU rRNA". It matches the Rfam family "Bacterial small subunit ribosomal RNA", at positions 904 to 1382 of the family's 1533-position model. The record is from RNAcentral. Lineage: Bacteria; Pseudomonadati; Bacteroidota; Sphingobacteriia; Sphingobacteriales.
CUCAGAACUUAAGGAAUUGACGGGGCCCGCACAAGCGGUGGAGCAUGUGGUUUAAUUCGAUGAUACGCGAGGAACCUUACCUGGGCUCAAAUGUAUGUUGACGUAUUCUGAAAGGGAUACUUCUUCGGACAAUAUACAAGGUGCUGCAUGGUUGUCGUCAGCUCGUGCCGUGAGGUGUCGGGUUAAGUCCCAUAACGAGCGCAACCCCUAUCAUUAGUUGCCAUCAGGUCAAGCUGGGGACUCUAAUGAAACUGCCUACGCAAGUAGUGAGGAAGGUGGGGAUGACGUCAAAUCAGCACGGCCCUUACGUCCAGGGCUACACACGUGCUACAAUGGCCGAUACAGAGGGCAGCUACCUGGUGACAGGAUGCAAAUCUCCAAAGUCGGUCUCAGUUCGGAUCGGAGUCUGCAACCCGACUCCGUGAAGUUGGAUUCGCUAGUAAUCGUGAAUCAGAAUGUCACGGUGAAUACGUUCCCGGGCCUU